Long non-coding RNA from Megalobrama amblycephala (Wuchang bream), 3028 nucleotides. RefSeq lists it as uncharacterized. The transcript has 3 exons. Lineage: Eukaryota; Metazoa; Chordata; Actinopteri; Cypriniformes; Xenocyprididae. The record is from RefSeq and is a predicted model, not a curated record.
GUAGGGUUAGGGUUAGGGUUAGGGUUAGGGUUAGGUAUAUAGGUAAAAGCGAGUUUCACCCUCAUUAAUUCGACCCUCAUUAGCAUAUGCGAUCUGAUUGGCCGAAGCUUACCUGGCCGUAUCUUUUGAAGCGGAGGUCCGACGUGCACAUAAGUGGUAUCGUUGGAUUCAGAAAUCUGUCUUCUUUCAGGUAGCGUGGAUGUCUGGAAGACAGGUAUAUAGAUAAAAGCGAGUUUCACCCUCAUUGGUUCCACCUUCAUUAGCAUAUGCGAUCUGAUUGGCCAAAGCUUACCUGGCCGUAUCUUUUGAAGCGGAGGUCGGACGUGCACAUAACUGGUAUCGUUGGAUUCAGAAAGCUGUCUUCUUUCAGGUAGCGUGGAUGUCUGGAAGACAGGAUGUUGCUAGGGUAAAUUUUAGGUCGGGUUAUCCUGAGUAGGUCUGUGAGACGGUUAGGUUUAGGGUCAGUUUUAGGUCGGGUUAUCCUGAGUAGGCCUGUGAGACGGUUAGGUUUAGGGUCAGUUUUAGGUCGGGUUAUCCUGAGUAGGUCUGUGAGACGGUUAGGUUUAGGGUCAGUUUUAGGUCGGGUUAUCCUGAGUAGGCCUGUGAGACGGUUAGGUUUAGGGUCAGUUUUAGGUCGGGUUAUCCUGAGUAGGCCUGUGAGACGGGUUGUUUGAUUGACCGCCGCAAUCUGUUUGUUUGUUUGGUUGUCUAAAAUGAGCUUAAAACGUUCUGUUCUUAGUCACUGCCCAGAUUGGCUUUGUUCUGUUGAGUAGUUAAAUAUUGUAUUAAAUUGGAUGCUAAUAAAGUACUAUAAAUCGAAUCCAUCUUGAAAAUUCCACUCUAAGUGGCCAAAAGGUCAAAGGUCAAGACUGGCGGAUAUGGCCUGGUUGGCAUCUUGCAAUAAUAAAACGUACGUAAUAACUACUGUAAAUCAAAUGAAGUCUAAAAAUCGAAAGAUAGGCCUAAGACGUUCCCAAAAGGUCGAAGGUCGUGACUGGCGGAUGCAAAGAAUAAAAGGUAGCAAAAAGGUAAUACAAGUCUUUAUAAAAACAGUUUUCCAGCCAGUUUGUGUGUGUGUGUUUGUGAAAGAGAGAGAGAGAGAUAGAGAGAGUGUGUGUGUGUGUGUGUGUGUGUGUGUGUGUGUGUGUGUGUGUGUGUGUGAAAGAGAGAGAGAGAGAGAGAGAGAGUGUGUGUGUUAUUUUCUGCUAAAAUAUUGGAAUUCUUAGCAGUUUCUUACACAUGGCUAUUCACAGUUUUAUCCAGGAGAGGGCGACGAGAAGCCAAGGGUAAUAUCCUGGAAUAGAUAGAUAGAUAGAUGAUAGAUAGUUAGUUAGAGAAUAAAGAAAAAAAAAUAGAUAGAAAAUAGAUAGAAAAAAUACAUCCAAAUGAAAUAACCUGUGAAAUCAAUUGUCUUUUUAGCAAAAAGGAAAUGCAAGUCUUUAUAAAAACAGUUUUCCAGCCAGUUUGUGUGUGUGAGUGUGUUUGUGAAAGAGAGAGAGAGUGUAUCAUUACAAUUCAGAAUUGAACAAUUUAAGAUAAAACAGCAGAUAGGCUUGAGCAAUUUAGACUAUUGAACAUGUAAAGGAAGAACAUAUUGUUCCUCUCAAAGGUUGUGUAAAGUGUUGGGUGCUGGUAUGGAUGGAUGGAUGGAUGGAUGGAUGGAUAGAGAUUAGUUUUACGAUAUUUCUGUGCAGAGUUUGAUGAAGUUUUGUGUUAAUGAAGGUUUAUGGAGCAUAGGGACUAGCAUGUUUAAAGUUGGUGGGGUGAGGAGUUAAUUGGGUUAAGGGUUAGUGAGGCUAGGGCUAGCAGCUCUGAGGUUUGGGUUAGGGGCUAGUCUGGGGGUUAACUGCGAGUAGGUUAAGGGUUAGUGAGGCUAGGGUUAGCAGCUCUGAGGUUUGGGUUAGGGGCUAGUCUGGGGUUAACUGCGAGUAGGUAUAUAGGUAAAAGCGAGUUUCACCCUCAUUAAUUCGACCCUCAUUAGCAUAUGCGAUCUGAUUGGCCGAAGCUUACCUGGCCGUAUCUUUUGAAGCGGAGGUCCGACGUGCACAUAAGUGGUAUCGUUGGAUUCAGAAAUCUGUCUUCUUUCAGGUAGCGUGGAUGUCUGGAAGACAGGUAUAUAGAUAAAAGCGAGUUUCACCCUCAUUGGUUCCACCUUCAUUAGCAUAUGCGAUCUGAUUGGCCAAAGCUUACCUGGCCGUAUCUUUUGAAGCGGAGGUCCGACGUGCGCAUAACUGGUAUCGUUGGAUUCAGAAAGCUGUCUUCUUUCAGGUAGCGUGGAUGUCUGGAAGACAGGAUGUUGCUAGGGUAAAUUUUAGGUCGGGUUAUCCUGAGUAGGUCUGUGAGACGGUUAGGUUUAGGGUCAGUUUUAGGUCGGGUUAUCCUGAGUAGGCCUGUGAGACGGUUAGGUUUAGGGUCAGUUUUAGGUCGGGUUAUCCUGAGUAGGCCUGUGAGACGGGUUGUUUGAUUGACCGCCGCAAUCUGUUUGUUUGUUUGGUUGUCUAAAAUGAGCUUAAAACGUUCUGUUCUUAGUCACUGCCCAGAUUGGCUUUGUUCUGUUGAGUAGUUAAAUAUUGUAUUAAAUUGGAUGCUAAUAAAGUACUAUAAAUCGAAUCCAUCUUGAAAAUUCCACUCUAAGUGGCCAAAAGGUCAAAGGUCAAGACUGGCGGAUAUGGCCUGGUUGGCAUCUUGCAAUAAUAAAACGUACGUAAUAACUACUGUAAAUCAAAUGAAGUCUAAAAAUCGAAAGAUAGGCCUAAGACGUUCCCAAAAGGUCGAAGGUCGUGACUGGCGGAUGCAAAGAAUAAAAGGUAGCAAAAAGGUAAUACAAGUCUUUAUAAAAACAGUUUUCCAGCCAGUUUGUGUGUGUGUGUUUGUGAAAGAGAGAGAGAGAGAUAGAGAGAGUGUGUGUGUGUGUGUGUGUGUGUGUGUGUGUGUGUGUGUGUGAAAGAGAGAGAGAGAGAGAGAGAGAGAGAGAGUGUGUGUGUUAUUUUCUGCUAAAAUAUUGGAAUUCUUAGCAGUUUCUUACACA